This 501-nucleotide ribosomal RNA is filed under the name uncultured bacterium. RNAcentral describes it as "bacterial SSU rRNA". It matches the Rfam family "Bacterial small subunit ribosomal RNA", at positions 28 to 523 of the family's 1533-position model. The record is from RNAcentral.
GACGAACGCUGGCGGCGUGGAUUAGGCAUGCAAGUCGAACGGUAUCAUCCUUUCGGGGGUGAGAGAGUGGCGAACUGGUGAGUAACACGUAGGUUAUCUACCCUCAAGACGGGGACAACCCAGGGAAACUUGGGCUAAUACCGGAUGUGAGCAACUUUUAGUUGUUUGAAAGGUGGCGUAAGCUGUCGCUUGGGGAUGAGCCUGCGUCCUAUUAGUUAGUUGGUGAGGUAACGGCUCACCUAGGCAAUGAUAGGUAGGCGGCCUUAACGGGUGGUCGCCCACACUGGGAUUGAGAUACGGCCCAGACUCCUACGGGAGCAGCAGUCGAGAAUAGUCUACAAUGGUCGGAAGACUGAUAGUGCGACGCCGCGUGAACGAUGAAUCCCUUCGGGGUGUAAAGUUCUUUUAUAUGUGAGCAGUGCUUCUUAUAUUAACAGUAUGGGGAAGAGAUAUUAGCAUAUGAAUAAGCAACGGCUAACUCCGUGCCAGCAGCCGCGGUAA